RNAcentral lists this ribosomal RNA (331 nucleotides) under uncultured bacterium. Its description in RNAcentral is "bacterial SSU rRNA". It matches the Rfam family "Bacterial small subunit ribosomal RNA", at positions 568 to 898 of the family's 1533-position model. The record is from RNAcentral.
UGCGCAGGCGGCUCUAUAAGACAGAUGUGAAAUCCCCGGGCUUAACCUGGGAACUGCGUUUGUGACUGUAGGGCUCGAGUGCGGCAGAGGGGGUGGAAUUCCACGUGUAGCAAUGAAAUGCGUAGAGAUGUGGAGGAACACCGAUGGCGAAGGCAGCCCCCUGGGUCGACACUGACGCUCAUGCACGAAAGCGUGGGGAGCAAACAGGAUUAGAUACCCUGGUAGUCCACGCCCUAAACGAUGCCAACUAGGUGUUGGGGAAGGAGACUUCCUUAGUACCGUAGCUAACGCGUGAAGUUGGCCGCCUGGGGAGUACGGUCGCAAGAUUAAA